This 108-nucleotide unclassified non-coding RNA is filed under the name Epilithonimonas mollis. RNAcentral's name for it is "Chryseobacterium molle Flavo-1 RNA". The record is from RNAcentral. Lineage: Bacteria; Pseudomonadati; Bacteroidota; Flavobacteriia; Flavobacteriales; Weeksellaceae.
ACCUAGCCCUGAUGGUAGCGGUUACCCCGCAGCUGAUCCGGAUAGCUGCAGGCCCGAAGUGCUGGCAGGCGGCUGUGCGAGGAGUAUGAGCGGACAGCAGGUUCCCGG